RNAcentral lists this ribosomal RNA (496 nucleotides) under uncultured bacterium. Its description in RNAcentral is "partial 16S ribosomal RNA". It matches the Rfam family "Bacterial small subunit ribosomal RNA", at positions 28 to 507 of the family's 1533-position model. The record is from RNAcentral.
GAUGAACGCUGGCGGCGUGCCUAAUACAUGCAAGUCGAGCGAACAGACGAGGAGCUUGCUCCUCUGACGUUAGCGGCGGACGGGUGAGUAACACGUGGAUAACCUACCUAUAAGACUGGGAUAACUUCGGGAAACCGGAGCUAAUACCGGAUAAUAUAUUGAACCGCAUGGUUCAAUAGUGAAAGACGGUUUUGCUGUCACUUAUAGAUGGAUCCGCGCCGCAUUAGCUAGUUGGUAAGGUAACGGCUUACCAAGGCGACGAUGCGUAGCCGACCUGAGAGGGUGAUCGGCCACACUGGAACUGAGACACGGUCCAGACUCCUAGGGAAGGCAGCAGUAGGGAAUCUUCCGCAAUGGGAGAAAGCAUGACGGAGCAACGCGGCGUGGGUGAUGAAGGUCUUCGGAUCGUAAAACUCUGUUAUUAGGGAAGACAAAUGUGUAAGUAACUAUGCACGUCUUGACGGUACCUAAUCAGAAAGCCACGGCUAACUACGUG